CACAGCGUUCGAAGACACCUUACUACUGCACAAAACAUACCUCAUCUCAAAUGCACAAGUUAAAGAAACAGAUACAUACUAUAGAGCCCAGCUUGGUCACAUUCGAUGGACAAUCAAUGCAAAAACCAACAUCGUUGAAGUCGACGAACAAUUUAACUCCCUCCUUUCAUCAACUUACAACUUCAUAUCAUUCGAAAAUCUUCAGCCAUACAUGGAUACAAAUGCAGAAAUCAUUAAGUACUUGCAAUCCCAUUAACAUCUUACACUUUAUUACUUUUAUCUUAAACAUAAAUUACAACCUAUACUCAUUACUAGCCCAUAUUAUUUCUUAUAGGCAUCAUUGGAAUAGCAGUCGACAUCUUCCCCAAAAGAGUAAUUCAAAUUCGUGACAACCAAUCAACAGUACAAGAUGUCAUUCUCAUGAACGAAAGGCUAGAAGAGAACAUCAUCACAAUAAAUGACAUCGUGACAAGAAAAGCUUAUAUCUUCCCCCACAUCCACCACAAUUUCUUGCCCACCAGAAGAAAAGUUAGUCAACAUCAAACAGCUACAACAUAUGAGCAAGAGCAAUCGUUCAGUUACAGGACUACACAGGCUCAAUGACAGCAUCAAUUAUUGGAAAAUCGGCUGAAACAUUCCUCAAAUGCCCAGUAACAGAAUUGAUGAAACAAAGUUCUAAUGAACAUAUGGAGAGCAGCUCUACAAUUCCAGCAACAACUCCACGUGAGCACAUCGUAUACAUCAAAGCUGGAAAUAUAGAGACAACCACUAACAAGCCACCAUAUGAAGUCAUCUUCAUCCUUGACUCACACCUCCAAGAUGACAACCAGUUACCUGCCAACAUCACACAACCAAGCACUACACAUGAAGCUCCCAAACAUGCAGAUAAAAAACAGAAGCAAGAGUAGCUGUUGAAGACCUGAAAAUACAUAUUUUGUAUUUCUUUUGCACACUUGUGUCCACAAUCCAACAGACCAGAUUCCCAGCAUCUCUAUCUGCCAUACUAAAUUUUGUUCAUUGUCCAUAUUAACAUAUUAGAAACCAUGUACCCAAAUACGGCAUGUAACAUCUCUGUGUAUGGCACCUAAGAACUCUGUUUUGUACUUCAUAUUACUAUUGCCAAUGUAACUACUUGUGGACACAUUUUAUAUAAUCUAAUGUAAUCAUCCUUCUAA
Olea europaea var. sylvestris is the source of this 1175-nucleotide RNA transcript. RefSeq lists it as uncharacterized. NCBI's taxonomy places the organism in Eukaryota, Viridiplantae, Streptophyta, Magnoliopsida, Lamiales, Oleaceae. The record is from RefSeq and is a predicted model, not a curated record. The transcript has 4 exons.